This 253-nucleotide ribosomal RNA is filed under the name uncultured microorganism. RNAcentral's name for it is "partial small subunit ribosomal RNA". It matches the Rfam family "Bacterial small subunit ribosomal RNA", at positions 524 to 776 of the family's 1533-position model. The record is from RNAcentral.
UACGUAGGUGGCAAGCGUUGUCCGGAUUUAUUGGGCGUAAAGCGAGCGCGGGCGGUCUUUUAAGUCUGAUGUGAAAGCCCCCGGCUUAACCGGGGAGGGUCAUUGGAAACUGGGAGACUUGAGUGCAGAAGAGGAAAGCGGAAUUCCAUGUGUAGCGGUGAAAUGCGUAGAUAUAUGGAGGAACACCAGUGGCGAAGGCGGCUUUCUGGUCUGUAACUGACGCUGAGGCUCGAAAGCGUGGGGAGCAAACAGG